Molecule: ribosomal RNA, 2923 nt
Filed under: Bacillus sp. JKS001846
Lineage: Bacteria; Bacillati; Bacillota; Bacilli; Caryophanales; Bacillaceae
Description: bacterial LSU rRNA
Rfam family: Bacterial large subunit ribosomal RNA
Source: RNAcentral
UGGUUAAGUUAGAAAGGGCGCACGGUGGAUGCCUUGACACUAGGAGUCGAUGAAGGACGGGACUAACGCCGAUAUGCUUCGGGGAGCUGUAAGUAAGCUUUGAUCCGAAGAUUUCCGAAUGGGGAAACCCACCAUACGUAAUGGUAUGGUAUCCUUAUCUGAAUACAUAGGGUAAGGAAGACAGACCCAGGGAACUGAAACAUCUAAGUACCUGGAGGAAGAGAAAGCAAAUGCGAUUUCCUGAGUAGCGGCGAGCGAAACGGAACAUAGCCCAAACCAAGAGGCUUGCCUCUUGGGGUUGUAGGACAUUCUAUACGGAGUUACAAAGGAACGAGGUAGACGAAGCGAUCUGGAAAGGUCCGUCGUAGAGGGUAACAACCCCGUAGUCGAAACUUCGUUCUCUCUUGAAUGUAUCCUGAGUACGGCGGAACACGUGAAAUUCCGUCGGAAUCUGGGAGGACCAUCUCCCAAGGCUAAAUACUCCCUAGUGAUCGAUAGUGAACCAGUACCGUGAGGGAAAGGUGAAAAGCACCCCGGAAGGGGAGUGAAAGAGAUCCUGAAACCGUGUGCCUACAAAUAGUCAGAGCCCGUUAACGGGUGAUGGCGUGCCUUUUGUAGAAUGAACCGGCGAGUUACGAUCCCGUGCGAGGUUAAGCUGAAGAGGCGGAGCCGCAGCGAAAGCGAGUCUGAAUAGGGCGUUUAGUACGUGGUCGUAGACCCGAAACCAGGUGAUCUACCCAUGUCCAGGGUGAAGUUCAGGUAACACUGAAUGGAGGCCCGAACCCACGCACGUUGAAAAGUGCGGGGAUGAGGUGUGGGUAGCGGAGAAAUUCCAAUCGAACCUGGAGAUAGCUGGUUCUCCCCGAAAUAGCUUUAGGGCUAGCCUUAAGUGUAAGAGUCUUGGAGGUAGAGCACUGAUUGGACUAGGGGUCCUCAUCGGAUUACCGAAUUCAGUCAAACUCCGAAUGCCAAUGACUUAUCCUUAGGAGUCAGACUGCGAGUGAUAAGAUCCGUAGUCAAAAGGGAAACAGCCCAGACCGCCAGCUAAGGUCCCAAAGUGUGUAUUAAGUGGAAAAGGAUGUGGAGUUGCUUAGACAACUAGGAUGUUGGCUUAGAAGCAGCCACCAUUUAAAGAGUGCGUAAUAGCUCACUAGUCGAGUGACUCUGCGCCGAAAAUGUACCGGGGCUAAAUACACCACCGAAGCUGCGGAUUGAUACCAAUGGUAUCAGUGGUAGGGGAGCGUUCUAAGGACAGUGAAGUCAGACCGUAAGGACUGGUGGAGUGCUUAGAAGUGAGAAUGCCGGUAUGAGUAGCGAAAGACGGGUGAGAAUCCCGUCCACCGAAUGCCUAAGGUUUCCUGAGGAAGGCUCGUCCGCUCAGGGUUAGUCAGGACCUAAGCCGAGGCCGACAGGCGUAGGCGAUGGACAACAGGUUGAUAUUCCUGUACCACCUCUUUAUCGUUUGAGCAAUGGAGGGACGCAGAAGGAUAGAAGAAGCGUGCGAUUGGUUGUGCACGUCCAAGCAGUUAGGCUGAUAAGUAGGCAAAUCCGCUUAUCGUAAAGGCUGAGCUGUGAUGGGGAAGCUCCUUAUGGAGCGAAGUCUUUGAUUCCCCGCUGCCAAGAAAAGCUUCUAGCGAGAUAAAAGGUGCCUGUACCGCAAACCGACACAGGUAGGCGAGGAGAGAAUCCUAAGGUGUGCGAGAGAACUCUGGUUAAGGAACUCGGCAAAAUGACCCCGUAACUUCGGGAGAAGGGGUGCUUUCUUAACGGAAAGCCGCAGUGAAUAGGCCCAAGCGACUGUUUAGCAAAAACACAGCUCUCUGCGAAGCCGUAAGGCGAAGUAUAGGGGGUGACACCUGCCCGGUGCUGGAAGGUUAAGGAGAGGGGUUAGCGUAAGCGAAGCUCUGAACUGAAGCCCCAGUAAACGGCGGCCGUAACUAUAACGGUCCUAAGGUAGCGAAAUUCCUUGUCGGGUAAGUUCCGACCCGCACGAAAGGUGUAACGAUUUGGGCACUGUCUCAACCAGAGACUCGGUGAAAUUAUAGUACCUGUGAAGAUGCAGGUUACCCGCGACAGGACGGAAAGACCCCGUGGAGCUUUACUGUAGCCUGAUAUUGAAUUUUGGUACAGUUUGUACAGGAUAGGCGGGAGCCAUUGAAACCGGAGCGCUAGCUUCGGUGGAGGCGCUGGUGGGAUACCGCCCUGACUGUAUUGAAAUUCUAACCUACGGGUCUUAUCGACCCGGGAGACAGUGUCAGGUGGGCAGUUUGACUGGGGCGGUCGCCUCCUAAAGUGUAACGGAGGCGCCCAAAGGUUCCCUCAGAAUGGUUGGAAAUCAUUCGUAGAGUGCAAAGGCAUAAGGGAGCUUGACUGCGAGACCUACAAGUCGAGCAGGGACGAAAGUCGGGCUUAGUGAUCCGGUGGUUCCGCAUGGAAGGGCCAUCGCUCAACGGAUAAAAGCUACCCCGGGGAUAACAGGCUUAUCUCCCCCAAGAGUCCACAUCGACGGGGAGGUUUGGCACCUCGAUGUCGGCUCAUCGCAUCCUGGGGCUGUAGUCGGUCCCAAGGGUUGGGCUGUUCGCCCAUUAAAGCGGUACGCGAGCUGGGUUCAGAACGUCGUGAGACAGUUCGGUCCCUAUCCGUCGUGGGCGUAGGAAAUUUGAGAGGAGCUGUCCUUAGUACGAGAGGACCGGGAUGGACGCACCGCUGGUGUACCAGUUGUUCUGCCAAGGGCAUAGCUGGGUAGCUAUGUGCGGAAGGGAUAAGUGCUGAAAGCAUCUAAGCAUGAAGCCCCCCUCAAGAUGAGAUUUCCCAUAGCGUAAGCUAGUAAGAUCCCUGAAAGAUGAUCAGGUUGAUAGGUUCGAGGUGGAAGCAUGGUGACAUGUGGAGCUGACGAAUACUAAUAGAUCGAGGACUUAACCAU